RNAcentral lists this transfer RNA (58 nucleotides) under Cancer pagurus (edible crab). RNAcentral describes it as "tRNA-Leu". Lineage: Eukaryota; Metazoa; Arthropoda; Malacostraca; Decapoda; Cancridae. The record is from RNAcentral.
GAGUAUUUAAAUUUAUAAAAGUUACUUUAUAUAAAAUAAAGAUUUAAAUUUUUAUUUA